This 1043-nucleotide ribosomal RNA is filed under the name Bacillus safensis. RNAcentral describes it as "bacterial SSU rRNA". It matches the Rfam family "Bacterial small subunit ribosomal RNA", at positions 425 to 1460 of the family's 1533-position model. Lineage: Bacteria; Bacillati; Bacillota; Bacilli; Caryophanales; Bacillaceae. The record is from RNAcentral.
AAAAGCUUCUGUUUUUAGGGAAGAACAAGUGCGAGAGUAACUGCUCGCACCUUGACGGUACCUAACCAGAAAGCCACGGCUAAUUACGUGCCAGCAGCCGCGGUAAUACGUAGGUGGCAAGCGUUUUCCGGAAUUAUUGGGCGUAAAGGGCUCGCAGGCGGUUUCUUAAGUCUGAUGUGAAAGCCCCCGGUUCAACCGGGGAGGGUCAUUGGAAACUGGGAAACUUGAGUGCAGAAGAGGAGAGUGGAAUUCCACGUGUAGCGGUGAAAUGCGUAGAGAUGUGGAGGAACACCAGUGGCGAAGGCGACUCUCUGGUCUGUAACUGACGCUGAGGAGCGAAAGCGUGGGGAGCGAACAGGAUUAGAUACCCUGGUAGUCCACGCCGUAAACGAUGAGUGCUAAGUGUUAGGGGGUUUCCGCCCCUUAGUGCUGCAGCUAACGCAUUAAGCACUCCGCCUGGGGAGUACGGUCGCAAGACUGAAACUCAAAGGAAUUGACGGGGGCCCGCACAAGCGGUGGAGCAUGUGGUUUAAUUCGAAGCAACGCGAAGAACCUUACCAGGUCUUGACAUCCUCUGACAACCCUAGAGAUAGGGCUUUCCCUUCGGGGACAGAGUGACAGGUGGUGCAUGGUUGUCGUCAGCUCGUGUCGUGAGAUGUUGGGUUAAGUCCCGCAACGAGCGCAACCCUUGAUCUUAGUUGCCAGCAUUCAGUUGGGCACUCUAAGGUGACUGCCGGUGACAAACCGGAGGAAGGUGGGGAUGACGUCAAAUCAUCAUGCCCCUUAUGACCUGGGCUACACACGUGCUACAAUGGACAGAACAAAGGGCUGCAAGACCGCAAGGUUUAGCCAAUCCCAUAAAUCUGUUCUCAGUUCGGAUCGCAGUCUGCAACUCGACUGCGUGAAGCUGGAAUCGCUAGUAAUCGCGGAUCAGCAUGCCGCGGUGAAUACGUUCCCGGGCCUUGUACACACCGCCCGUCACACCACGAGAGUUUGCAACACCCGAAGUCGGUGAGGUAACCUUUAUGGAGCCAGCCGCCGAA